AUUGAACGCUGGCGGCAUGCCUUACACAUGCAAGUCGAACGGUAACGGGCCUUCGGGUGCCGACGAGUGGCGAACGGGUGAGUAAUACAUCGGAACGUGCCCGAUCGUGGGGGAUAACGAGGCGAAAGCUUUGCUAAUACCGCAUACGAUCUACGGAUGAAAGCAGGGGACCGCAAGGCCUUGCGCGGACGGAGCGGCCGAUGGCAGAUUAGGUAGUUGGUGGGAUAAAAGCUUACCAAGCCGACGAUCUGUAGCUGGUCUGAGAGGAUGAUCAGCCACACUGGGGCUGAGACACGGCCCAGACUCCUACGGGAGGCAGCAGUGGGGAAUUUUGGACAAUGGGCGCAAGCCUGAUCCAGCCAUGCCGCGUGCAGGAUGAAGGCCUUCGGGUUGUAAACUGCUUUUGUACGGAACGAAAAGCCUUCUUUUAAUACAGGAGGGUCAUGACGGUACCGUAAGAAUAAGCACCGGCUAACUACGUG
Molecule: ribosomal RNA, 482 nt
Filed under: uncultured bacterium
Lineage: Bacteria
Description: partial 16S ribosomal RNA
Rfam family: Bacterial small subunit ribosomal RNA
Source: RNAcentral